Molecule: long non-coding RNA, 347 nt
Filed under: Setaria viridis
Lineage: Eukaryota; Viridiplantae; Streptophyta; Magnoliopsida; Poales; Poaceae
Description: long non-coding RNA (SVIR_LNC007050)
Source: RNAcentral
UCUCAGGCUCCCGAUUCUCCUUUUAUAGCGCAAGGAAGCCACCGAGGUUAAAGGUGAGACCAGGUGUGAGGAGAAGUAAAAGAGAUAAACAAAGCUAAGUAAAAUACAACACAAGGGGAGGGACCAAGUCCCUAGGCCGCCGGCGUCCUCACCGGCCUUCGGCCCCUGCCAGCGCGUCUGCUGGAGGAGGACGGCUGCCGUCGCGUCCUGUCGAUGGUCUCCUCGGCGGAUGUCACCGCCAAGCGUGAUGAUGGCGUUUCAUCAUGGCACCUGUGUCCGUUGGGGGAGGCGGCUGACCCCGCCAUCUUGCUGACGGUCUACGGAAGGCGGACGUCACAUCCCUGUCG